AAUCAACGCUGGCGGCGUGCCUAACACAUGCAAGUCGAACGCGAAAGGGGAGCAAUCCCUGAGUAGAGUGGCAAACGGGUGAGUAACACGUGGGUGACCUGCCUUCGAGUGGGGGAUAACGUCCCGAAAGGGACGCUAAUACCGCAUGACAUCCUGCUCUUGGACGAGCGGAGAUCAAAGCUGGGGAUCGCAAGACCUGGCGCUUGAAGAGGGGCCCGCGCCUGAUUAGCUAGUUGGUGAGGUAACGGCUCACCAAGGCAACGAUCAGUAUCCGGCCUGAGAGGGCGGACGGACACACUGGGACUGAGACACGGCCCAGACUCCUACGGGAGGCAG
RNAcentral lists this ribosomal RNA (336 nucleotides) under uncultured Acidobacteriota bacterium. RNAcentral's name for it is "bacterial SSU rRNA". It matches the Rfam family "Bacterial small subunit ribosomal RNA", at positions 32 to 351 of the family's 1533-position model. Lineage: Bacteria; Pseudomonadati; Acidobacteriota. The record is from RNAcentral.